AUGGAGUAUCUGUACAUCACUGGGUUUGGGUGUCUUAUCACUGAUAAGAUCACGAUGCCGAGAUUUCCCCGAGCGCGCGUGGUGUGUUUAUUUAUCCUCUAUGCUGGCUUGGUUCAACGCUCAUCCAAAAGGUUAUGUUCCACAAACCUUCAAGUGUUUCCCAACAUGGCGAGUGUUUUACCAGACAAUUCCCCGGCAGGCAAAAGGGCUUCAGACACCCCUGACAGGCCUUCACUCGUCAUGCCGUCAGCAGGUGGUCCAAAUCCUCCUAGCAAGGAGGAAAGCUUAGACCUCAUGGGCCAAUACAAACCUGAAAUUUUCUGCUAAAAG
This 330-nucleotide long non-coding RNA is filed under the name Bemisia tabaci. RNAcentral's name for it is "lncRNA ENSSSA1UGG006547". Lineage: Eukaryota; Metazoa; Arthropoda; Insecta; Hemiptera; Aleyrodidae. The record is from RNAcentral.